AACAAAAAACCAAAAAAAACCCAAAUAAAAUCCAGAAGGGGAAUUCUGAGUAUUUGAUAUAUUGAACAUUCCAGCCAAUGAUAUUCAAAGGUGUUAGGGCUACAUCUGCACAUUUAAAAUUCUGUUGAUUGAACUAAAUGUUUAUAUUUUUUUUCAGAGUUGCCUGAGAGGGUGUAGGGCUGUACUUGAAACUCAUCUAGAAAUGUUCUAAUUAGCUCUAAGCUACCUUGUCCAAUAGCACUGAGUUCAAUGUGGACAGAAGUCUUGCCUUCGAAACAAAUACACAAGGGACCCUUCCUCUCAGCUGAUCUUAGUCCUUAGUCUGAAUCAUAACAGAGCUAUUGUUUUGGUUUGCCUCCCUCAGCAGUCCUUCCUUUGGAUCCCAGCAUUAAGCAUGUUGCAUGAAGCUGUGUUCUGUGUGCACUGGAGGGCCCUUGGUGCCUCUGGGGAUGGGUAGCUAGGGACUUGAAUGUACCUGCAGCAGUGGAGACUGAAAUGGGGAAGGCAGAGGCAGACACAGAUUAAGAAAUUGGGCCCUCCAGGUAGCGAAAGAAGUUAUGAAAUAUGGUGCUAUAAAAAUUCUUCUAGGAGGGGGCCCUCAAAUGAUUGGCAUGUCUCUUUUGUGGUUUAUGACAGUUCUGGUGUGACAGAGAAUGGCAGCCCCAUUUUUCAGUAUUCAAGGCUCUUUAUUGUGUGUCACUAUCUUUGAGUUGGCUGCUCCAGACAGGUACUUUCAUGUCAUUUCCUUAUUCCUGCACUUUGCUCUGCCUUGCUCUUUCUGUAGGGAAAGAGAAGACAGGGUGAGAGAAAUGUGCUGUUGGUGUUUGCCUGCAUGGCACGCUGCAGGAGUCAGAUUCCUCGCAGAACAUUUGUGCCUGUGUGGCACCAGCACCCACAGCAGGGCAGUUGAGUGUGCCAAACAGAGCCUGCAGAAAUCUGGCUGAUCAUGUCUGACACACUCUGAUUCAGGCAAACGUGCAGAUUAUUGGGCUCAGUGCUGCACCAGUGGCACGCUCAGAAAUGUUUGGCAAUGGUCCUGACAGUGUUAGUGUUAAGACUACGGCAUAAAAAGAUACUGAGCUGCAUGGAUUUGCCCCAUAGUCUGUACAUGGCCCUUGGACGACUAGCUGAUCCCCCUAAAUGAAAUCAUACCAUGGUUAGUAUCCUCUGCUCAGUUCCUGUUGUGUAUUCUCUCUGAUGGGUCAAGUUGGACGCAGUUCCAAAUUGUUCUAAGUGGUUUAAGUGCGGUGAUGUGCUGAGUGGCCUGGCUGCAGUCAUGCUGAUGGGCAUUUGUCUUCAGCUCCUCAGCAUAUAGGAGUCUCCAGCCCUAAAGCAAUGGGCAGACUUCCCAAAAGGCAGGGAGGCAAGCUAGAAGAGUGGCUGCUUGCCAUUUCUUUUUGGUCUAUUCAGGUUAAAAAUCAGCUUUGCAUGCGAAGAAAGAGAGGAGGUCUCUGUUGGCUGCUUUUCAAGAGACUUUGACCUUUCUUCUUACUUCUGCAGCAGGGUGUUGUGACUUCUUUUCCCUAUCACACACCUUUGCCCCACCACAGACCUACCCUGUCUCUAAAGCUAACACAAAGAACCUGCUAUAUCUCUCUGCCCUGACCCCAGUAUCUUAACUCACUCUCCCUGUGCUCCCUCAUUUAUUGUUUUCCUCUUGUCUCUUUCCACUUCACCUCCUGUUAGGCAAAAUCUGUGCUGUGUGGAAGAGGCCGAGCGCGGGCUGCGAGAAGUAUUUAGACACCUCUAAGCAUAAGUGUGUAUUUUUGACAAAUAGCCUGGUUAUUCUGGAUGAAGAAAGAGAAACAGCUCUGAUUCUUAUCCACCACCACGGAAGCCCGUGCUGCUGCCACACUUCAGGCAUUGCUCAAUUCUCCCGGUAUCCUGCCUGUGGAGAGCUCUUAGCAGACUCGUGGACCUGCGCUGCCGUUGCUUCACCACCUUCCCUGGCCCUGAGGCUGACUUUUGGAAAAAGAAGGUGGAAAAUAGUAGAAGCAGAGGUCGCAAAGCCAUGUGGUGAAGGGAGAGGCACGCUGGGCGUUAGCGGGAAGGAUGUAAAGCAGAAAUUAAAACCCUUGUGCCUCACCCCACUGCGACUGCUGAGACAAGGCAUGUGUUAGAGAUUAGCAAUCUGCUUACUGGCACCCUUAGGCCCAAACCAGUGGGAACAUUUCUGGAAGCUUGGGUCAGUUUUGGAAGAGAGGUGGCUGGUGCCCUUCUCCCUUGCUAUACUGUAGACUGGUCAUUAUUUUAAUGAUCAGAACAAGGCUUCCAGAAGGUUACCAGAAACCAGAGAAGCUAAAGGCUGCCUUCUGAUUUUCCUUGUCCAGGCUCCUUUUUUUUUUACUUUGCAGUAAAGUGACCAGAAUGAACAGCAGUACAGCUCUGUCUUUUCUUCUCCCCUUAAACUGACCACUUCCCCUCUCAUCCCAGCUGCUACCUACUAACAUAAUUUUCCACUGCCUCUCUUCCCUGGGCUACCUCCACUUCCCAUCUGCUGCCUGCUGUCAUUUUUUCCAUCUCCACCCAGGCCUUGCCUCACUCUCUCCCCUGUCCUAGAAUUGGAACAACAGCUUUUCGAUUUAUGACUAAAAACUAUCAUUUUGAUCAAUGAUCUCCAGGCAAACAGCAUUCUGGAGAGAGGCCUAAAUGAUGGGUAGGUGCCUUACUUCCCACUUCCUCUACUAGAAGAGAAUUUCUCCUACUCCAGCCAUUGCUCACACUGAAGCUGAAUGCAUGCACAUUAGAAAAUAAAUUAAUUAAAAGAAGCCCUCAGAGUUGCAAAGGCAAGGCUGUUGUUUCCUAGUAGGUAAAUUGCAUCUUGACUGUAAUUGCCCCGCUACUCAUGCAAAUUCCUCAGUAGUGGGAAUUAUAUACGUAUAUGAUCAGUAUAAGGAACCACUCUGUUCUUCUGCGUAGAUUUUUGUUGAUGGACCUCUGACACUUGUCCUUCUAGCCUCAGUUCUCAUCCCUCCAGCAUUCUCUCAAGGGACUGGGCUACUGAUUUUAUGUAGAUGAUCUGUGCAUAGAGCAAUCCCACAUGCACAGCCGGAAUACACACAUACAGACACACUCAUACAAGCACAUGCUUGACAAUUUCAAGUCAGCCAGUGGCAGAACUCCAGCUACCCCUGGUAUCUUCUGUUAGUCCCUCUGGGAAUGUCUUUCUGUCAUAGAAUUUAAUUACAUAUGUUUCUGCUAUUUUCUUCCCUUUAAUUUCUGCCUUAUUUUGUGCACAGCACAGGCUGGGCUCAAUUUCUGAGCAGCAACUCAAUAUUUAGUUUUCUCCUUCCUGCUCACUGGGUGGCCACUACCCUUAUUGAUGGGACAACAUUUAAGUCCUUCUCUGUUUCUCUGAUGAGAAAGUGGUUGAUUCCCCCAUGAGAUUUUCUGUGUCCUCGUCAUGUAUGUAUAUCUGUGGCUACACAAGUGCUUUAUGGUGGAACUUGUAUCAGAAGUAUCAGAAUACUUGUUCCUGGCCCCCUGAUGGUGUCCACUUACUGCUUUCAUUCUUGGGAUGGUUUUAGAGUAGAAAAAUAGGCCAGACAAAGCUGUGUAAUUUGCCGUAAAGGGAGGUAGAUAUUUUGUUUUUCUGCUAGUGCAUGUUCUGUUUUGUUAAGAAGGCUGUAGGUUAACAGCCAGGUGUUUUAUUCUGCCUGCUUCAGUUCUGAAGAAAGGGGGAAACUACCCCUUUUCAGAAGCCUCUUGAAAAGGGAGGAGGGAUUUUACAGAGGACAGUGUAGGGCAUCAUGUUCUACCUGACACAUACCCCCAAAAUUGGAGCAGAGCUUUUGGGAAACUCCCGAGCGUGGCACUGGGCCAUGACAUCCCCACUUGGCAUCUCUUGGGAGCUGGCAGGAAUGAUUCAGGACUUGGAGCUGAGCACUGAAAACUGCUGGACUGGGUAAGUUUUGGGAGCUCCUUAGGAUGUGAAUACAUAACAGCUGGGAAGAUGAGGUGGGGAAGGAGUGGUGAGGACUGUUGGGGCUUUUUUCUGUUCUCUUUGUUUGCAGUUGUCUGAACUCACAUCUGUGCAGAUCCUAACCCUUUGGCAUGCUUGGGCUGCUCACAUUAAGGAAAAUGUGUGAGAAGACCACCUCAGGGUGCUGGCCAGCUUCAGAUGCAGUUGCGACUGCAACCAGUUUGGCAGCAGCUGGAUUUCUUUGGCCACAUCUUCCUGUGUUGGACACUGUUAAAUCCUAAUGGCAGUCCUGGAUCUGGGGCUCGGUAGGAAACUUCUGGCUCUUGCUGACUACUGUGCUGACUCCUGAGUAUUUUGAGAAGGCAGGCUCUUCAUGGUGCUGGCAUUUUCCCCUGAGAAGAAAGGGAACACAUUUGGUUCCUGUAGGGCUGCAAUAGCAACCACUGCCUGUAAGGAAGACUUGAGACAUAGUAUGGUAUUGGACUUGGGUGACUAAGAAGGAUAAUGCUUGCUGGGCUGAGGGUGACAAAGAAUAAUCCUACUUUUCCUGCAGAUUGCUAGUCAGCAAAGUGUUAAAGGCAUUGCUGGUUGGAUGGGACUGAGGCUAGAACAGUAUUUAGCAUAAGCCCCUAGCAGGCUGUGGAGAAGGUCUUUGAGAGAACAAUGGAUGGUUGUGUGGGCUUAGGUGUGAGGAUGACUGAAACUAGUGAGGAGGAUGCCAGGUGCUAAUUGAAGAGAAUAAGUGUUUUCCCAUCUAUAAUGUUUUACUGAGGUUCUCCUUUCCAUCACCUUAGGAGAAUGUUCUGUGUUUUAUUGGCCAGCAGGGGUUUCCAAACUAAGACGUUGUUGGAGGUAUGUGACCUGAUCCAAGUUUUCCAGAGUAGCUUCCUGGAAAGAAUUUUAAGAACGAGAAC
Long non-coding RNA from Parus major (Great Tit), 4836 nucleotides. RefSeq lists it as uncharacterized. The transcript has 4 exons. The record is from RefSeq and is a predicted model, not a curated record. NCBI's taxonomy places the organism in Eukaryota, Metazoa, Chordata, Aves, Passeriformes, Paridae.